AGUUUAUACACAACAAACGUUAUAUGCUAUACAGUAUUCUAGAUGGGCUUAUUACUAGACAUGGGCUUGUUGUAGGAUAAAUAUUGUACAUGUCUGGCAGUGUGAAUAUCACAUUAAUAGUGAUUAUUGUGUUAAUUGAGGAGUGUACCAAGAUGACACUAUAUUUGUAUUUACAACGAUAAGGAUAUCAGCAUUAUUUAUGUUCGUCGUAACCUAGAAAUAUUGAAACCUUUGUAAAUAGUAACCUGUGUAUACUGUUAGAAUGUCUGUGUAAUCUUGUCAUCAGAGUAUGAACUAAAUUUUUGUUUAACUGUCUCUGAACAGACAGUUAAGUACUGUCUCUGAACAGACAGUUAAGUACUGUCUCUGAACAGACAGUUAAGUAAAUCUCAUAGCACUGUCGGUUUUCCAGCCAAUUUAUGAUAUUUUGAAGAAGUUUAGAGCAUUAUCGUACAAAAGGAAGACAUAUUGAUAUGAUAAUAAGAAAAGUGAAAAUUUAAUAUGUUGGGAGUCGGUCAGGUGACUGAUAAAGAGACAUUCGAUAUCUGCUGUAUCUUUGUAAAUUGCCAGUACAUUUUCUGUGAUAUUAACAGAAACAUUCGGUAGAUGUGAUAUUAACAGAAACAUUUGGUAGAUUAUAAAGGCAUAGAUGAAAGCACAUAACGGAGGCAUUACAUGAGGCUUAAUAGGAAAUGAAGGUAGAUUCAAUAUCAACAUUUCAAGUGAAAUAAUCAAAUAUUAUUAGUGCAUUGUUUAUCGACAUGUUUCAAACUUUCCUCAAUAUCAAUUGGCACUGGUGCAGAUUAUUUUUUGAAAUGGAAUAGGAAUGUUUUGAAAUUACAAUUGUGAUUUUUUUUUAUUAUUAUUUGCAAAUUAUUUAAUUGUAGUCAACUAGUAUUUGUUCUAAUCUUAAAAUCUUCUGGUUGUGUUUCCAUUGAAAUUUAUAUUCUGCAUUUGAAUUUGAACAAUUGGAUGAAUAUUUCAGGUAACUAACCUACAUGUAUGAAGAUUUAAUACCAACUAAUAAAAUUUGAAUUCUGGUUUGAAUAUACAUUAAUGUUAUACAGCAUAAUCGAUGUUUGUAAAGUGUUUUGAGGAUGACGUUUAAUGUUUACAGGAAGUUAAAAGUUUUAUAAUGGCGUGCGGCUGUUGGACCUGAACAGUAAAGAGUGCAAUAUUUUGCUUUAUUUUGUUAUAUCAUCAUCUUGGUGAGUUUGUGUAAUGAAACAGUAUCUAAAAGAUGACUGUACUAUCUCUUCUAUUGAAUAUAUUUUUCUGUUGUGUGAAUAUCCUUCUUUUCCUAAAAUGCUAUAAAAGAAAAAUUAACCUUUUUACUGUAAACAUUUUUGCAUAUACUUUAUUUCAUGAAUUUACCUCUUCAGAUAUAUUCGUGAAUACAAAAUGUACAUGAUUUCGAGAAUGCUGAUCUAGAAAUGACUAAGAUCUGUGAGUGGUAAAAACUAUUAGAGUCAAGGACUCCACAAGACUCCAGAGGUGUCAUUUUCAUACAAAUAUUCGCAAAGGAUUGGAAUUCCUGUUUGACUCUCCUCGCGAAUAAACAGGUAUUAAAAGUUGAUAGUGGGUAACUUUGGAGAAAUUAUGGAACUAGUUAAAUGGUUUUUCAUGAGCUUCAAGAACUAAGUUCAAUUCUUUUGAGGGAAAUGAAAUUUGAAAGAAUAUGUUGAUGUAUUAGAUGCACUUCCAAAUGGUAAUAUUUCUGUUCUUGCAUUGCAAACCCUCUACAAUUAAAAGUUGAAUUUAUCAACAAAUCUCUCUUAGUAAUCAUACUGUGAUCAAGAGAUUGCUACACCACUGUGACCGUUCCAUCGCUGGUCGAUAAUAAGCUUUUCAAUUAAUAAAUCAAAAAUGGUAGAUUGUAUUUAAAAGAUUUGUUUAUCAGACCACAGGGGCAUGUCUAAUCUCAUAUUAAAAAAUAGCCUGAAAUACCUAUAUAUAAAGAGUUUUUAUAUAUAAGUAUAUCUGGCUAUUUUUUAAUGUAAGACUAGACAUGGCCUGUGAUCAGACUAAGGGGUAUAUGUCAUUUCAUGCCCCUUUAAAAAAAGUCUUGAGUUAAUGAGUCCUUGUAAAAAUUAUUUUAUUUAUACAUGUAGUACCACCUGAUAUACAAUGUACUUAAAAUGUGUAGUAAUAGUGUUUUAAAUUCUACAGUACCUGUUCAUUGCACAGGGACUUGGCACGAAUUCCAAACACACAGUACAUAUAGAUGUAUUAUGCUUCAUUCAUGCGUUACAAUUAUAUGGACCAUGAUUAACACAUGCCAAGUCCCUAUGGUUGAUAACUGGUACAAAUAUGGAGUUGAAAUAGGGAAUUUCUACGUUUUCUCUGUGAUGUGUAUGACGGUGUCUGUUUCCUCUGUUACGAUAUAUACAUUGUGUAUUAUUUAAAUAUAUAAACAAAAAAGAUUCUACAUGACAAACAAUUGCAAUCAGUAACGCAAGUGCUUUCAGGCCUACCUGGCCAUCUAGUUUGUGCCGUUAUACCUUGAACUACAAUACUGUUACCUCCCCUGCAUUUUCAUCCAUUAUGACAUCAUAACACAUUAUGAUGUCAUCCGGUUACUAAGUAAUAAAUCAAAUGCCUGAAGAUGGCCAGGUAGGCCUGAAAGCGCUUGCGUUAUUGAUUGCAAUUGUUUGACAUGUUAAAUCUUUUUUGUUUAUAUAUAUAGAUGAAGCAGUGUAGCUCAAAUGAAAUGGUUGUGGAUCUAUUUUGUCAGAAAUUAGCUUUUAUACCUGACUUUCUAUUGCUGUAAAAUGUUACUGAAGGGACAAGUCCUCUUUCUCUUUGUUCAAUAAAAGGGACACAAUAUAUAUAUAAAUAUAUUUCUUCAUGUUUAUUUUCUCUCAAGCAGUUGAUAAACAAAAUAUAUGUGACAUAUUAUUUAGUGAAAUUGCUUUUUUUACUUUGUUUCUCACCACAAAAUCUUUGCAUUUAUAAAUAUCUUGCAUUUAUUUAUUUAUUUUUUAUUUCAUUUUAUUUUAUUUUUUAAGUAUAUAAUGGAAGUUACUCUGAUAUCAUUAAAGCUGCUAUUUCACUUUAUAUACAUUCGACUAGUACUGGGAAAAAAUACACUUUAAUAUUAAUUUUAGAAAUUAUUUCACAAAAAAAAAAAAAAAAUUCCUUUAUAAACUUUUCUAAUUCAUCAUUCCUGUGUAGUCAAUUUAAAGUCAGUUAAAUUCUACAGCGAAACAUAUUCUAGCUUGCCAUGACAAUGGAUAUACGGAUGUUGAUCAAACUUUGGUUGAAGUUUUGAUAGGCAGAAUAAAUUACUUGGUACAGGUUCAGUUGAAAGUAAGAAAUAUUUGUGAGCCUGUAAGUUUUUGUCUUUAUAAUGUCCUUCCUUUCCUUCUCAAUAAAGUGUAAUCAUGCAACUGUUCAUAUUUAAGCUGUAAUCAUAUUUUUAUUAUAUUGGUUUUGUUUAUGUUUACAAUUGUAAAAUAUUCCUGCUUUACAUCAAGAAAUCGUUCCCACUUUUUAAAUCUGUUCAGCAUAUAAGUACAUGUGUUGAGAUUAUUAAUGAUUCGUGUUUGAAUGUUAUAUCUUUUGUUUAUGCACUGUAAGUGUAAGCUUGUUGCUUCUAUCAUCAAAUACCAAAGAAAAUUACUUUUGUUAAGUUUGAAAGUGAAAUUAACUUGAAAUAAUACUUUAUCGUUGCUAAAAGCUUCCUUAUUAAGUUUUUGUUAUAAUUUGUAUCUGUUUUAAAUAGUAUCCUGUCUUUAAAGUAUAUAUUCUGAUUAAUUAACCUUGUGAUAUCUGUUUAUGUAUGUAUCAAUAAUAUUUGUUUGUGAGCCACAUUGUACAAAUAUGUAAGAGUCAAACUUUACUAAUUUGUUUGUGAGUCACAUUGUACAAAUUUGCUGUCAAACUUAACAAAUUUGUUUGUGAGUCACAUAGUACAAAUAUGUUAGUCAAACUUAACAAAUUUGUUUGUGAGUCACAUUCUACAAAUAUGUUAGUCAAACUUAACAAAUUUGUUUGUGAGUCACAUAGUACAAAUAUGUUAGAGUCAAACUUUACAAAUUUGUUUUGUGAGUCACAUUCUACAAAUAUGUUGGAGUCAAACUCUACAAAUUUGUUUGUGAGUCACAUUGUACAAAUAUGUUAGAGUCAAAUUUUACAAAUUUGUUUGUGAGUCACAUUCUACAAAUAUGUUAGUCAAACUUAACAAAUUUGUUUGUGAGUCACAUAGUACAAAUAUGUUAGAGUCAAACUUUACAAAUUUGUUUUGUGAGUCACAUUCUACAAAUAUGUUGGAGUCAAACUCUACAAAUUUGUUUGUGAGUCACAUUGUACAAAUAUGUUAGAGUCAAACUUUACAAAUUUGUUUUGUGAGUCACAUUGUACAAAUAUGUUAGAGUCAAAUUUUACAAAUUUGUUUGUGAGUCACAUUGUACAAAUAUGUUUGAGUCAAACUUUACAAAUUUGUUUUGUGAGUCACAUUGUACAAAUGUUUGCAAGUGGUACUGUAAAUUUAUUUGUGAGUUACAAAUGUUUGUGAAUCAAAUCAUACAAAUACUUUAAUGACUAACAUUGAAGGUAUUUGAGACAAACUGUGGAUUUGUUUGUGAAUCACUUUGUACAAAUUUGUUUGCGAAUCACAUUGUACACUCUGCUUGCCAUUCACAUUACAAAUUUAUUUGUGAAUUAAAUUGAACAAAUGUGUUAGCACAUCACAUCAUACAAAUUUGUGAAUGAAAUUUUACAAAUUUACUUGUAAGUAACCUUGUACAAAUUUGUUUGCUUUACUAAAUUGUAUGGAACAUCUUGAUCAAAUCAAUGCAUAUAUAUAUAUAUAAUUGUAUAUAUUUUGUUUGUAAAGUAUGAAAUACAAAAGUUCUAUUUGUUAACAGUGUAUAAUUUUGUGAAUACUACGACCACAAAUAACAUGCAUGCUCAUGUUGAUUACUGGUAAUCAGAUCUUUAUAAACAUCCUUGGAAAUUAAUGGUCUUUUUUCAGUUACUGGUUUACCACCUACAUGACUCUGUCUAUAGCUAGGUUUCGUCUCACUAACUCUAGUCAGUGUUCUGUCGAUGGUUUACCACCUACAUGACUCCGCCUAUUGCUACUUUUUGUCUCACUGACUGUAGUCAGUGUUCUAUCAGUAUUAGUUAGUCAUUACAGGUGAGACUUCUACGCAUAUAAAAUGUAAAUGUUUUUUGCAAAUACAACAUGUAUUCAUGAAAUCAUCAACUGAAGUUGUCACAACAAAUAUUUAGAAAUCAAUCUGUGACAAUGAAAUUGUAGUGUAUGUAAUACCACAAAACAAUAGGGACAUAUGGUUAUUACAAAUCUGACUCUAGGUGUCCACAACACCAAUAAUGUACAUGUAUUUCAUAUGUGCUGGUUAAUAUCUUGCCAACAAGUAUUUUCAAGAUUUAAUUGGAGAAUCAAAAAGCUUUUUCUUGUAUUUUAUGGUUAGAUUUCGUGCUUAAAGAGAAAACAUUACUGUAUUUACUUUUUAUGACUUUUAUGAAAAUCAAAAAUCCUAUUCAAAAAUUGAAUUUUCAAAUUGUAUUUCAGUGAUAAGCAAUCAAAGAUUCUUUGUCUUCAGUGAUUAAUGAAUAUAAUUUUCAUCAAAUCUGUAUAUUAAUUAAAUUUGAUAUCAAAGAUAAUCUAUGAUCAGAAUCUCUAUCUUUAGGAUAUGCACAGCUUACCAAAUUAUCAAUCAAGGAUACAAUACUCCUAAAUGAUCAUGGCCCAGUUGUUCAAAAGGUGAUUAGCCUAAAUCACUUACUUAGUGAAAAUCUCAUUUCUCUUUAAAUUCAAAACCUCUGUGUGAAUAUUCCUUACACAAGACAGUUAGGAAGAGACUGAAGCGUGUUAUAAAGAGUUUUGUAAAAUUUUGUUAGUUUUACUAGAAAUGAUUUUAUCAGGAUUUUAAAAUUGUUAAACAAUUGUUAAGCCUAAUCACCUUUUAAACAACUGGUCCUUGACGUUUGGUUUGCAGGGAAUUAAUAUGUUAAUUAGUAGAAGUAUUCAAGAACAGAUAACAGCUGGUGUUUGUCCUUUAUUUCUUCUUCUGAAGAAUGAUUUAUGUUCCUAGCCAUAUCUUCAGUAUCCAAGAGUUACACAUCAUGAUAUACCACUAUCAGUAUUGUGUAGUGGAUUGAAAUCCUUUGGUAGCAAAAUGCCAUAUAUUACCAAUGUAUUUGUCUUAAAGACCACAAAAUUGUUAUAAUUGUUAUUUGUUGUCAGUUGAUGGUAAUUUGUAAAAUAAAUAUUGAAAUGAAA
Molecule: long non-coding RNA, 6250 nt
Organism: Pecten maximus
Lineage: Eukaryota; Metazoa; Mollusca; Bivalvia; Pectinida; Pectinidae
Exons: 2
Source: RefSeq, a predicted model, not a curated record